GACGAACGCUGGCGGCGUGCUUAACACAUGCAAGUCGAACGGUAAGGCCCUUCGGGGUACACGAGUGGCGAACGGGUGAGUAACACGUGGGUGAUCUGCCCUGCACUUCGGGCUAAGCCUGGGAAACUGGGUCUAAUACCGGAUAGGACCACUGCCUGCAUGGGAGGUGGUGGAAAGCUUUUGCGGUGUGGGAUGGGCCCGCGGCCUAUCAGCUUGUUGGUGGGGUGAUGGCCUACCAAGGCGACGACGGGUAGCCGGCCUGAGAGGGUGACCGGCCACACUGGGACUGAGAUACGGCCCAGACUCCUACGGGAGGCAGCAGUGGGGAAUAUUGCACAAUGGGCGCAAGCCUGAUGCAGCGACGCCGCGUGAGGGAUGACGGCCGUCGGGUUGUAAACCUCUUUCAGCACCGACGAAGCGCAAGUGACGGUAGGUGCAGAAGAAGGACCGGCCAACUACGUGCCAGCAGCCGCCGUAA
RNAcentral lists this ribosomal RNA (478 nucleotides) under uncultured bacterium. RNAcentral's name for it is "partial 16S ribosomal RNA". It matches the Rfam family "Bacterial small subunit ribosomal RNA", at positions 28 to 523 of the family's 1533-position model. The record is from RNAcentral.